This 77-nucleotide transfer RNA is filed under the name Escherichia coli. Its description in RNAcentral is "tRNA-Gly". RNAcentral also lists the same sequence under 1 other name. Lineage: Bacteria; Pseudomonadati; Pseudomonadota; Gammaproteobacteria; Enterobacterales; Enterobacteriaceae. The record is from RNAcentral.
CGUGGCAAUCGCCGAGCAACACGCGGUGACCUUUGCCGCCGGUCUGGCGAUUGGUGGGUUCAAACCCAUUGUCGCGA